Molecule: transfer RNA, 59 nt
Filed under: Moniezia sp. MN-2015
Lineage: Eukaryota; Metazoa; Platyhelminthes; Cestoda; Cyclophyllidea; Anoplocephalidae
Description: tRNA-Ser
Source: RNAcentral
GAAGAAUUUUGUAAAGUUACUGCUAAUAACUUUGGGUCAGUUAGGUUUGACGUUCUUCU